Molecule: non-coding RNA, 677 nt
Organism: Meleagris gallopavo (turkey)
Lineage: Eukaryota; Metazoa; Chordata; Aves; Galliformes; Phasianidae
Source: RefSeq, a predicted model, not a curated record
UUUUUUUUUUUUUUCUGUGGGCCCAGGUUCCCUGGAGAUGGGGUGAGAACUCAGACAGAAUGGAACAUACACCACUGCCUAUGUUCAGAACAGUAUUUUACUGAAAAUGCGUGAGAUUUUUCGCUACUGAUCGUGAUUCUUGUCUGAGAGAUUUCCCUGAAGAGAGCAUACGAAUCUUUCAUCGUAUUCACCGGAACACAACAGAUAUGAAUUUCCAAUACAUAUUUGUGGUGUUGAUACAUGAAUGUAAUUGUAUUUGUAUGAUGACAGUCAUAUCCUCAGAAGAUUAAGAAGCAACUUCAGAUAUUAAGAUUCUUAUGAAAACAAAAUCUAAAUGGAAAUGCUGAGAAUAUAAGGAAUGUCUUGGUAAUAUCCUCUUCAAGGUCUUUUCUACUCAGAUUGUACGUGUUUGCUUCAGAUUCUAGAAAGCAUCUAUAGAGAGUAGCUAUAAAAUAUCUAUUUGACAAAAAUCAGGAGGCUGUAAACAAUUGUCUAUACCAGCUUAAAAAAAAAAAAUUGCAACAAGACCGAACACAUUCAUGGGUAUAAAAACAGUAUCUGAACACAAAUAUAUUAAAAGAUCACUACAGUGGUUAAGUUAAACUCUUUUAAGAAAUGUCAGAGCUAAAUUUGUUUAUGCAACUUGCACUUGCCUCUCUAAUUUGUAUGCACUACUA